Molecule: non-coding RNA, 72 nt
Organism: Bubalus bubalis (water buffalo)
Lineage: Eukaryota; Metazoa; Chordata; Mammalia; Artiodactyla; Bovidae
Source: the annotation of a RefSeq genome assembly
UCCCCGGUGGCUCAGUUGGUAAAGAAUUUGCCUGCAAUGCAGGAGACCCAGGUUCAAUCCCUGGGUGGGGAA